UAAUCUAAUUAUGCCUUUAAUGCA
RNAcentral lists this non-coding RNA (24 nucleotides) under Arabidopsis thaliana (thale cress). Lineage: Eukaryota; Viridiplantae; Streptophyta; Magnoliopsida; Brassicales; Brassicaceae. The record is from RNAcentral.